GCCUUUGCUAGUUGGCGGGGUGAAGCCUCUAGCCUUUGCUAGUUGGCGGGGAAGGGAAAAUAUAGCCUCUAGCCUUUGCUAGUUGGCGGGGUUAAGCCUCUAGCCUUUGCUAGUUGGCGGGGGAUGGGAAAACGAAGCCUCUAGCCUCAUCUACAGUCUUAAAUUGCAUGCAUUUUAGUUUUAGUAUUUAGAAAAUACAAAUAUAAGUUGAGAAUUGAGAUUGAAGUAUGUGAAAUAUAGCCUCUAGCCUUUGCUAGUUGGCGGGGUUAAGCCUCUAGCCUUUGCUAGUUGGCGGGGUGAAGCCUCUAGCCUUUGCUAGUUGGCGGGGUUAAGCCUCUAGCCUUUGCUAGUUGGCGGGGUGAAGCCUCUAGCCUUUGCUAGUUGGCGGGGUGAAGCCUCUAGCUUUGCUAGUUGGCGGGGAGAAUGGAAAUCACCGCUAUCUUGUGAUAGCCUUGGGUUAAUCUUAGUUUUAACAUAAUUUUAAGUCUUAACUUGCAUGCAAUUUACUUAAUAGGUGACACUUCCCAUCGGUAGGGGAAAUGCACAAGGUAUUUUGCAUCAAAGAGGGUGUAUCACCCUUGGAGAUGCUGGGAAGUGGAGAUAUUCUUGAGAAAUUCAAGAGUUUUUUACUUCUCUACUCUACUAAGUAUCUUUAAGAGUGAGAGACUCUCAUAGAUACUGUAGAGUACAACAUUCACGCCUGGCGGUCCUUAGUUUAGUGAUAAGUUCAAUCUAUGAUUAGCAACUAUUUAUCAUCAUUUUUUGAUACUUUAAAAUUAGAGAUAUUCUUGAGAAAUUCAAGGGUUCUCUAAUGAGUAUCAUUGAGAGUAAGAAACUCUUAUUGAUACUGUCUUGUACAAACAUACACUCCUGUUGAUUCAGGUAUUCUCUUAGUUCAGUCCAAGUUAAGAUUUGUAACUGUUUAUCUACAUUAUAUAAAAUUGCUUUGUUUUGUAAGUGCUUUACAAGUUUGUUGCAGCUUAGCCUACCAAAUGAAUCCAAGUGCACCAUUGUAGAUAUUUUUUAAAAGCAGGAUUGAUGAACAACUAAACAAACAAUAUUGUGGAGAUACAUGUGAAUUAUAAUGGAGAUGCCACCAGAUAUUCAAUGCAUUGGAGAGCAGCUCUACUACCAAAGUGGAGAUGUGGAUCACUGGAUGUGGUAUGAGAUAUCUGGUAACCAUAUUUUCAGUAGUCAAGACAGGAUAGAAUUCUCUAACACUUCCCUAUUCUAACACAGAUAUCAAGCUAGGGCCGGGAUGUUUAUGGUGGUUACUAUUAUGACACAGUUCAUCCCGACCCCUUCGGCAGUGCCUUGUUCUAUCCGGUUGGUUCUGAGUCCAAUGGGUGCUUUCAAGUUAGAGUCAACUGACCUGCAGAUCGCAUUUCCGCGUGCCAACAACUGGACGAACAUGUGCUACUGUUAGAUUGUGGUUUAUGGAUGGCUGUGGAGUAAGAAAAUCACCUUGAAUAGGGUUUGAGUUGUCAGGGUCCCUGUAGGAUAUUUGCAGUUGUCAGUCGACUAUUACAUUUCUGAUCAGUGCCCUUUGUGGUGGUGCCACAGCUUUUUCAUGAUGGUUGCGGGCUCAGUACAGCACUAAUUUGAUGAGCAGGUGGUACUGUUACACUGUGGCCUGGUCUGACUUGUUCUAUGAGACUGGCGAUGCAAAUAUUAGAUUGUAGUGCCUUCAGCAAACUUAGGGAUGGGGGUGUGAGAAUUAUCUGUCUUAAGAAUUAGAAUUAAGAAAAAUACGUUUAUAUCUGAGGCUGGAGUGAUAUUAAGUAUAGUCUCUAGCCUUUGCUAGUUGGCGGGGUGAAGCCUCUAGCCUUUGCUAGUUGGCGGGGAAGG
Molecule: long non-coding RNA, 1848 nt
Organism: Nilaparvata lugens (brown planthopper)
Lineage: Eukaryota; Metazoa; Arthropoda; Insecta; Hemiptera; Delphacidae
Exons: 2
Source: RefSeq, a predicted model, not a curated record